Molecule: transfer RNA, 97 nt
Filed under: Nephromyces sp. ex Molgula occidentalis
Lineage: Eukaryota; Apicomplexa; Aconoidasida; Nephromycida
Description: tRNA-Ser
Rfam family: tRNA
About the family: Transfer RNA (tRNA) molecules are approximately 80 nucleotides in length.
Source: RNAcentral
AGAAAGAUGGCUGAGAGGUCUAAAGCGACAUAUUGCUAAUUUGUUUUUAUAAUAAUUUAUAAUUAUUAUAACAAGGGUUCAAAUCCCUUUCUUUCUA